This 492-nucleotide ribosomal RNA is filed under the name uncultured bacterium. RNAcentral's name for it is "partial 16S ribosomal RNA". It matches the Rfam family "Bacterial small subunit ribosomal RNA", at positions 29 to 507 of the family's 1533-position model. The record is from RNAcentral.
AGUGAACGCUGGCGGUAGGCCUAACACAUGCAAGUCGAACGGCAGCACAGUAAGAGCUUGCUCUUACGGGUGGCGAGUGGCGGACGGGUGAGGAAUACAUCGGAAUCUACUUUUUCGUGGGGGAUAACGUAGGGAAACUUACGCUAAUACCGCAUACGACCUACGGGUGAAAGCAGGGGAUCUUCGGACCUUGCGCGAUUGAAUGAGCCGACGUCGGAUUAGCUAGUUGGCGGGGUAAACGCCCACCAAGGCGAGGAACCUUAGCUGGUAUGAGAGGCAGAUCAGCCACACUGGAACUGAGACACGGCCCACACUCCUACGGGAGGCAGCAGUGGGGAAUAUUGGACAAUGGGCGCAAGCCUGAUCCAGCCAUACCGCGUGGGUGAAGAAGGCCUUCGGGUUGUAAAGCCCUUUUGUUGGGAAAGAAAAGCAGCAGGUUAAUACCCCGCUGUUCUGACGGUACCCAAAGAAUAAGCACCGGCUAACUUCGUG